RNAcentral lists this ribosomal RNA (229 nucleotides) under uncultured bacterium. RNAcentral's name for it is "partial 16S ribosomal RNA". It matches the Rfam family "Bacterial small subunit ribosomal RNA", at positions 1274 to 1500 of the family's 1533-position model. The record is from RNAcentral.
UCUUAAAGCCGUUCUCAGUUCGGACUGUAGGCUGCAACUCGCCUACACGAAGCUGGAAUCGCUAGUAAUCGCGGAUCAGCACGCCGCGGUGAAUACGUUCCCGGGCCUUGUACACACCGCCCGUCACACCAUGAGAGUCUGUAACACCCAAAGCCGGUGGGAUAACCUUUAUAGGAGUCAGCCGUCUAAGGUAGGACAGAUGAUUAGGGUGAAGUCGUAACAAGGUAGC